CUUGGUCAUUUAGAGGAAGUAAAAGUCGUAACAAGGUUUCCGUAGGUGAACCUGCGGAAGGAUCAUUAUUGAAUACAAACCCUGGUCUUGGUUGUGCUGGCCCUUAGGGGCAUGUGCACGCCUUGGUCAUCGUUUCUAACCACCUGUGCACCUUUUGUAGACCUUGGAAUUGGGGAGUUGCUGUUCGCUGUCUAAGCCGGCUCUCCCUGUUAAACCCUCAAGGUCUACGCAUUUACAUACCCCAAAAAAGUUAUAGAAUGUUUUAUUAUUGGCCUCAGUGCCUUUAACCUAAUACAACUUUCAACAACGGAUCUCUUGGCUCUCGCAUCGAUGAAGAACGCAGCGAAAUGCGAUAAGUAAUGUGAAUUGCAGAAUUCAGUGAAUCAUCGAAUCUUUGAACGCACCUUGCGCUCCUUGGUAUUCCGAGGAGCAUGCCUGUUUGAGUGUCAUUAAAUUCUCAACCUGACCAGCUUUUGCGAGCUGGCUAGGCUUGGAUGUGGGGGUUGCCGGCCUUUUCCAUAGGUCAGCUCCUCUUAAAUGCAUUAGCGAAACCUUGUUGACCGCUGCUGGUGUGAUAAUUAUCUACGCUACGGCAGUCAGCUAUUUGGGUGUUUGCUUCUAACCGUCUGCAAGGACAACACUUUGACAAUUUGACCUCAAAUCAGGUAGGACUACCCGCUGAACUUAAGCAUAUCAAUAAGCGGAGGA
Molecule: ribosomal RNA, 708 nt
Filed under: Arthromyces matolae
Lineage: Eukaryota; Fungi; Basidiomycota; Agaricomycetes; Agaricales; Lyophyllaceae
Description: eukaryotic LSU rRNA
Rfam family: 5.8S ribosomal RNA (bases 296-449)
Source: RNAcentral